This 639-nucleotide long non-coding RNA is filed under the name Homo sapiens (human). RNAcentral's name for it is "HSALNT0296685". The record is from RNAcentral. Lineage: Eukaryota; Metazoa; Chordata; Mammalia; Primates; Hominidae.
GCCGCACCGAGGGCAGCAGGUAGGGAGAGGUGAUCCGUGCUGGGCCCGGCAGGGGAGAGAUGCUGGCGAAGGCAGGCACAGCACAGCACUGCGGGAGGAUGUGGGUCAGAGGACAGCAGCGGGAGGCGAGCCUUUGGCUCAGUGGAAGAAAGAACUGUCAGGCAUUCUGAACAAUCGACAACAAGGAGAGUUCCAACUGAGGCUGGAUGAGCUGUGGUCAGGGGCUGGGCCUGAGGAGGCGACGGAGGAUGCCGGAAAUGGGUAGAAGAUACUAGGUCUCACUUUGUUACCCUGGCUGGUCUUGAAUCCCUGGGCUUAAAAGAUCCUCCUGCCUCAACCUCCGUCAAGUGCUGGGAUUACAGGCAUGAGCCACCAUCCCUGUCCAUGUUAAAGAUUUAGAGGAGCACUGUGACUUGACCAAGAACACAGAAGUUUCACAACCUCCUUGGACCCUCACUGCCACCCAGAUGUCUGUGAUCAUCAGUCAUCUCUUGACCUCAAUUCCCUUCCUCUUCUCCCUUCCCCUAACAUAAAAAGAGUCUAAAAUUUGUAUUAACUUAAGACAGUUCUUUAGGACACGAGUCCACCAUCUUCUCAGUUUGUUGGCUUUCCCAAUAAAAGUUGCUUUCCUUGCCCCAA